GACCUCGGAUCAGGUAGGGAUACCCGCUGAACUUA
RNAcentral lists this ribosomal RNA (35 nucleotides) under Penicillium bilaiae. RNAcentral's name for it is "partial 28S ribosomal RNA". Lineage: Eukaryota; Fungi; Ascomycota; Eurotiomycetes; Eurotiales; Aspergillaceae. The record is from RNAcentral. RNAcentral also lists the same sequence under 3 other names.